RNAcentral lists this long non-coding RNA (485 nucleotides) under Homo sapiens (human). RNAcentral describes it as "non-protein coding lnc-BPY2C-14:1". The record is from RNAcentral. Lineage: Eukaryota; Metazoa; Chordata; Mammalia; Primates; Hominidae.
GAAUUAAUUGAUGUUAUCUUCCCUGCAUCAAAAGCUUAACUGUAACGUAUAAGAAGUAAAGAACUGCCAGAAGAGCCAGCACUUCCAGUCUGUAGCUCUCCCAUUACCAUCAAUCCUGGUUUUGAUCUACUUGUAGCACCAGCUAUUGGCUGUGUAAAGAACCUCAAAAAGAUAGUAAACUGUUUAAAUGAAAUAUAUUACAUAGACAAAGCAAUUACGGUUGUGAAGCACUUUUUAAGUGAGAAUACCUGCUCCCUGUUAGAUCUCACCCACCAGAAAGAUUUGUGGGACUCAAAAAUGCUGGUGCUACUUAUCAAAUGAAUUCUGUGAUGCAGUAUAUAUAUAUACAUACACACAUAUGUAUAUAUACACAUAUUAUACAUAUAUAUAUAUUCCACUAGAAACAGUGCUCUUGCUAAUGAAUGCAUAGCUGAAAAUAUAGACAAUGAUUUUCCAAAGAUGAGAAGCAGAACAGUGAGGUAAAU